CGCGUGAUUCACAUCAAUGGGAAUUAUUAUAUCUGUGUACCCCGAUUCCAAUUCACCUAGAUUCACAAAAAGAUAUGACUGUUGCGGUUAUCCUUCUGGAGCCUAGCUUCAUUUUGUCAAGCCAGUGUUUACUUGUAUCCUAAUAAAUGACGCGGGGCUGUGACUUCAUACGGGAGCUCCGGUGGCGUAUAGCCUAGGCGCGAGCCACCACCGCUCUGCUAAGCUGCUUGCGCUCCUCCUCUUUGUGAGGACCGGCUCCGCUUCUCCUCCGAAGCUCGAACGGGGAAAAAACUGCUGCAAGGAUGGAGUCCGCGGGCGCGUACGGCGCCGGUAGGGCCGGCAGCACCUCGUUCGACCCGGUCGCCUUCUUCACACACCCCCGGACCGUCGUCCGACUGCUUUCCUGGGUCUUCUCCAUGGUGGUGUUCAGCUGCAUCGUGAACGAGGGCUACAUCAACAUCGGCAGCGAGCGCCUGCUGUGCGUGUUCAACAACAACAACGACGCCUGUAACUACGGCAUCACGGUGGGCGUGGCCUCCUUCCUGGGCAGCAUCUGCUUCCUGUUGCUGGACGUCUACUUCCCCUCCAUGAGCAGCGUGAAGGACCGCCGCAGGGCCGUUCUGCUGGACCUGGUCUUCUCUGGUCUGGCAAGCUUUCUUUGGUUUGUUGGCUUCUGCUUUCUGGCCAAUCAGUGGCAGGCCACAACUCCAGAAGAGCUGCCAUUGGCCCAGGGCUCCGACGCUGCCAGGGCAACCAUCGCCUUCUGCUUCUUCUCGAUCCUGACCUGGGGCUACCAGUGCCUGCUGACAUUAAGCAGGGUUAAGGACAUUGUCAUCAUGGAGGAAAAACACCGGCUCCUGCCUAGCAGCUCUCCCACCUCAAUAAUGCUGGUCUAACCUUGUGUUCCUCCACCCCGUCCCCCAUUCCCGCUGCCUUGCCUCAGUCGUAAUCGGUUUUGGUUUUUAUUUUUAUUACGACUUAGCACUUAAAUGCGCUGUAAGCGAUGCCGUCGUUUCGGCUAACUUUCGGUUAUUUUGUAGUUCGCACUCCCCCUUCCUGCACUCCACGUCAGCAGAAACGCGGGUCUUGCACGCCUCCCGUCUCUCUCUCCCUGGCAGAUUUUCUUCUUUCUUUUCUUCAGUCAUUUUUUUUCCCCUGCUCAGCGUUCUGUUGUAUAAGCCGUUCCCGGCAGCGCUGGAGUCGGUAUCUUCGGGGACGUUCCUCCGUUGUCAGUCGGCACCGUAAUCCUGCCGGCUGCCCGAGAACACGCAGAGAGGCCCGCCCCUUUUGUGGGGUUCUCUCUCCUGAUUGGAGCUUAGAUACCAGAGAGACUGGGAGACCCAUGUUAGUGAUUCAACACUUUGUGUCAGUGAUGGCUGUCGGAAUAAAGAGAUAAUUAACACUUUAAUUAAUAAAUAUCGCUUUCAGCGUCUUUUACAGCCGUGAUCAGACCUCCCACGUAGUAGUCCUAUCACAAAUAGCAGAAACCUAUUCGGGAACCAGCAAACCUUCUUCAGAGGUUGCAGGGAUGUCAAACCGUAGCUUAGGUGGCCGAAGAGUCUGGGGGGAACUUUGUUCCCAUCCGUCCGCUCGCCGCUGCUAUCGGUCAGGGCAGCAGAGCGCCCAGGGCUGCUGGCAUUUACUGGAGGUCACACGCUGACACUGGUACGUUCCCAGCCCCCAGAGCUUACCCGGUUAGUGGAGCAGUUCAGAUCGCCGCUGGCAACCGCUGGUGUGCCGUCUGGUGGUGGGUCUAGUGGUGGGUCUGGUGGUGGGUCUAGUGGUGGGUCUGGUGGUGGGUCUAGUGGUGGGUCUGGUGGUGGGUCUAGUGGUGGGUCUGGUGGUGGGUCUAGUGGUGGGUCUGGUGGUGGGUCUAGUGGUGGGUCUGGUGGUGGGUCUAGUGGUGGGUCUGGUGGUGGGUCUAGUGGUGGGUCUAGUGGUGGUUCUAGUGGUGGUUCUAGUGGUGGUUCUAGUGGUGGGUCUAGUGGUGGUUCUAGUGGUGGUUCUGGUGGUGGGUCUAGUGGUGGUUCUAGUGGUGGUUCUAGUGGUGGAUCUAGUGGUGGUUCUGGUGGUGGGUCUGGUGGUGGUUCUAGUGGUGGUUCUGGUGGUGGGUCUGGUGGUGGGUCUAGUGGUGGGUCUAGUGGUGGUUCUAGUGGUGGUUCUAGUGGUGGUUCUAGUGGUGGGUCUAGUGGUGGUUCUAGUGGUGGUUCUGGUGGUGGGUCUAGUGGUGGUUCUAGUGGUGGUUCUAGUGGUGGUUCUAGUGGUGGAUCUAGUGGUGGUUCUGGUGGUGGGUCUGGUGGUGGUUCUAGUGGUGGUUCUGGUGGUGGGUCUAGUGGUGGAUCUAGUGGUGGUUCUGGUGGUGGGUCUGGUGGUGGGUCUAGUGGUGGUUCUAGUGGUGGUUCUGGUGGUGGGUCUAGUGGUGGGUCUUGUGGUGGUUCUGGUGGUGGUUCUGGUGGUGGGUCUGGUGGUGGGUCUAGUGGUGGGUCUAGUGGUGGGUCUGGUGGUGGGGCUGGAGUGGGUCCGGUGGUGGGUCUGGAGUGGGUCCGGUGGUGGGUCCGGUGGUGGGUCUGGUGGUGGGGCUGGAUUGGGUCCGGUGGUGGGUCUGGAGUGGGUCUGGUGGUGGGUCUGGAGUGGGUCCGGUGGUGGGUCGGGCUGUGCUGACACUGAGUGCGCUACGCCGCUAUCUCUCCGGCGCCAACAUGACAUUGUUCACGUGGCAACACAUGGACCACGCCCACGGAAGCGCCCGGGCCACGCCUUACCCCAUCGCCAACGGCGCCACCAUAGUGACCACCAACCCUUACCAGGCCCCGCCCUUCACCGAGACUCUGGACCCUCAGAAACUCACCCA
Molecule: RNA transcript, 2851 nt
Organism: Gadus macrocephalus (Pacific cod)
Lineage: Eukaryota; Metazoa; Chordata; Actinopteri; Gadiformes; Gadidae
Gene name: synaptogyrin-3-like
Exons: 5
Source: RefSeq, a predicted model, not a curated record